RNAcentral lists this ribosomal RNA (448 nucleotides) under uncultured Planctomycetota bacterium. Its description in RNAcentral is "bacterial SSU rRNA". It matches the Rfam family "Bacterial small subunit ribosomal RNA", at positions 217 to 656 of the family's 1533-position model. Lineage: Bacteria; Pseudomonadati; Planctomycetota. The record is from RNAcentral.
GCUUAGAGAGGGGUCAAUGUCCUACCAGCUAGUUGGUAAGGUAAUGGCUUACCAAGGCUAAGACGGGUAGCCGGCCUGAGAGGGUGGUCGGCCACACUGGGACUGAGACACUGCCCAGACUCCUACGGGAGGCUGCAGUCGAGAAUCUUUCGCAAUGCCCGAAAGGGUGACGAAGCGACGCCGCGUGUGGGAAGAAGGCCUUCGGGUUGUAAACCACUGUCGGGAGUUAAGAAAUGUAAGGGUGUUAAUAGCAUCCUUACUUGACUAAGGCUCCGGAGGAAGCCACGGCUAACUCUGUGCCAGCAGCCGCGGUAAUACAGAGGCGGCAAGCGUUGUUCGGAAUUAUUGGGCGUAAAGAGCACGUAGGCGGCUUUGUAAGUCAGUUGUGAAAGCCUUCCGCUUAACGGAAGAGCGGCAUCUGAUACUGCAAGGCUAGAGUGCGGAAGGG